Molecule: non-coding RNA, 72 nt
Organism: Phrynosoma platyrhinos (Desert horned lizard)
Lineage: Eukaryota; Metazoa; Chordata; Lepidosauria; Squamata; Phrynosomatidae
Source: the annotation of a GenBank genome assembly
GCCAGCGUGACAUAGUGGUUUGAGUGCUGGACUACAAUUCUAGUAGUCCAGGGUUCAAUUCCGAGCUUGUCC